Molecule: ribosomal RNA, 488 nt
Filed under: uncultured bacterium
Lineage: Bacteria
Description: bacterial SSU rRNA
Rfam family: Bacterial small subunit ribosomal RNA
Source: RNAcentral
AACGCUGGCGGCGUGCUUAACACAUGCAAGUGGAGCGACGAACCGGGGCUUGCCCCGGGGCAGAGCCGCGAACGGGUGAGUAACACGUGGGUAACCUGCCUCAAUGAUUGGGACAACCCGGGGAAACUCGGGCUAAUACCAAAUGUGUUCACUCCUUCCAAGGGGAGUGAGGAAAGGAAGCUUCGGCCUCCGCAUUGAGAUGGGCCCGCGGCCCAUUAGCUUGUUGGUGAGGUAACGGCUCACCAAGGCUUCGAUGGGUAGCUGGUCUGAGAGGACGAUCAGCCACACUGGGACUGAGACCCGGCCCAGACUCCUACGGGAGGCAGCAGUGGGGAAUCUUGCACAAUGCGCGAAAGCGUGAUGCAGCAACGCCGCGUGGGGAAGACGGCCUUCGGGUUGUAAACCCCUUUCAGUUGGGACGAAGCUUCGUCGGUGAAUAGCCGGUUGGAGUGACGGUACCUUCAGAAGAAGCCCCGGCUAACUACGUG